RNAcentral lists this ribosomal RNA (253 nucleotides) under uncultured bacterium. RNAcentral's name for it is "partial 16S ribosomal RNA". It matches the Rfam family "Bacterial small subunit ribosomal RNA", at positions 524 to 776 of the family's 1533-position model. The record is from RNAcentral.
UACGUAGGGAGCAAGCGUUGUCCGGAAUCAUUGGGCGUAAAGCGCGCGUAGGUGGCCUCAUAAGUCCGCUGUGAAAGUCAAAGGCUCAACCUUUGAAAGCCGGUGGAUACUGUGAGGCUAGAGUACGGAAGAGGCGAGUGGAAUUCCUGGUGUAGCGGUGAAAUGCGCAGAUAUCAGGAGGAACACCUAUGGCGAAGGCAGCUCGCUGGGACGUGACUGACGCUGAGACGCGAAAGCGUGGGGAGCAAACAGG